This 710-nucleotide ribosomal RNA is filed under the name uncultured marine eukaryote. Its description in RNAcentral is "SSU rRNA". It matches the Rfam family "Eukaryotic small subunit ribosomal RNA", at positions 618 to 1332 of the family's 1831-position model. The record is from RNAcentral.
GUUAGAACGCUCGUAGUCGGAUUUCGGGGCGGGCCGACCGGUCUGCCGAUGGGUACGCACUGGUCGGCGCGUCCUUCCUUCCGGAGACCGUGCCUACUCUUAACUGAGCGGGGGCGGGAGACGGAACGUUUACUUUGAAAAAAUCAGAGUGUUUCAAGCAGGCAGCUCGCUCUUGCAUGGAUUAGCAUGGGAUAAUGAAAUAGGACUUUGGUGCUAUUUUGUUGGUUUCGAACACCGAAGUAAUGAUGAGAAGGGACAGUCAGGGGCACUCGUAUUCCGCCGAGAGAGGUGAAAUUCUCAGACCAGCGGAAGACGAACCACUGCGAAAGCAUUUGCCAGGGAUGUUUUCACUGAUCAAGAACGAAAGUUAGGGGAUCGAAGACGAUCAGAUACCGUCGUAGUCUUAACCAUAAACCAUGCCGACUAGGGAUUGGAGGAUGUUCACUGAUUGACUCCUUCAGCACCUUACGGGAAACUAAAGUCUUUGGGUUCCGGGGGGAGUAUGGUCGCAAGGCUGAAACUUAAAGGAAUUGACGGAAGGGCACCACCAGGUGUGGAGCCUGCGGCUUAAUUUGACUCAACACGGGGAAACUUACCAGGUCCAGACAUUGUGAGGAUUGACAGAUUGAGAGCUCUUUCUUGAUUCGAUGGGUGGUGGUGCAUGGCCGUUCUUAGUUGGUGGAGUGAUUUGUCUGGUUAAUUCCGUUAAC